CAAAAAGAGAAAAUGACCCAAAUAGCACUAAUCCAAGUUUUUAUCCCCAAAAGAACACUCAGGGUCAAAAAUCACAAAAAUAGGUUUCAUUAAUAAGAACAUUUACCAUAUUACCCUUUUUCUAAUAUACUAAUUACACAAAUAAAAAAAUUAUAAAUCAAUUAUCUUCUCUCCAGUUCUUCACGCCGUCGUCAUCUCUGGUGAUCUCCUUCAGCCCCGCCGUCGUCAUCUCUGGCGAUUUCCCUCAGCUCCACCGUCAUCAUUUCCACCGUCAACUUUUAAGGAGAGCGAAAACCCCUAACCGUCAACUUUCCGCCGUCAUCUAUGGAGCGCGACAAAGAAGGAGAUGUGCAAUAACAGAGGAGGCGAAGAAACAUCUAAUCUGAGGCCUAUUAUAAGCGGCGAGUCUCUCAACAUUGAAUCUUAUUCGAUGCUUUACAAAGGACGAGCGAAGAUCAUGUGCCUACUCUUCAUCGCAAGCUAUUACGGAGGAAACCAGAUGCUGCAGCUUGAACUGUUGAGGAUGGCUCACGAUGAGAUCCAAAAGGGAGAGAACACACAUUUGUUCAGAGAUCUGGUUAAUAGGAUCAACAGGAGGUAAGUAUAAGAGGGAUUCUCCAUGAUCUUGAGAGAAAGAGUGUUGUUGAGGACUUGAAGGUUGAUAUCAAGGCUGAGGCUGAGAAGUCGGAUGGAAGUGGUACUGCUGCCACAAAGAGGAAGGUAUACACACAAAGCCUUGUGCAUUGGUUUUUAUUAUGUGUUUGAUUACAAGAUUUAUGCUUUUGUGUUGAUUAGAUGUUUCUGUAUUAGUCUAUGAUGUUUUGGUAAUUCCUAUGAUCAAGUAUAACUGGCUGUUGCUGGAGAAUAGUGAUUAUACUUGUGUAGCAAGAUCUAGAUGUUUUACAGCAAUUGUAGAAGUUUGUUGAAAUGAUGCUUAUAGAUUGAUCUAUUAACAACAAAAGAAUGAUACAUGUUUGUGGUUUUCUAUUCAAUGUGGAUGCUUAAGUGUUCAGCUUCUUUUUUUUCUGAAUUUAUUUUCAGACAUUAGGCUUGCCAUAGAUUGCAGUUGUUGACUAGUGUUUAUCAGUAUGUUAAUGUGGAUCCUGCAUAUAUAUUGAUUGCUUCUCGUGCACUCAAUCCCCAACUCUUUCAACCCCUUGACAAGCUCCGUAGAGAUCCUCAGCAACCUCUCCCUGUUGGUUUUCACAAUCCUCUGAACAAAACUCAUUAUACAUUCAAGCUGUAGGCUGCGCGUGUGAGAGUUGCCGAGCAAUACAUUCAAGCUUUUGGAAACAUCGCUAAGGAGGGUACAACAAUGCUGCAAAUCCAGCUAGCAUGAUCGCUCAAGCUUUGACAAUGUACAAAAGCCUCGUCCCCAGUGCUGGUAUCUAGGAAAUAUCAACAGUAGAAUCCUCUUCUAAAUUGGUAUCAAAAACGUGUGGUAAAAAAAAGAACUAGGAAACAAUUGUAAUUCUUUUGACCUGGGAACAGCUUUUCAGUAUGACAUAGGAAACAGUUAUCUUACCUUUAUUUCUAGUCUGCAACCAGAAAACAGAUGUAAACUCUAAUUUCUUAAAGAAGCUUUUGCACCUUAUUUGGUCUUA
Long non-coding RNA from Raphanus sativus (radish), 1604 nucleotides. RefSeq lists it as uncharacterized. The record is from RefSeq and is a predicted model, not a curated record. Lineage: Eukaryota; Viridiplantae; Streptophyta; Magnoliopsida; Brassicales; Brassicaceae. The transcript has 2 exons.